AGUGAACGCUGGCGGUAGGCCUAACACAUGCAAGUCGAACGGCAGCACAGUAAGAGCUUGCUCUUACGGGUGGCGAGUGGCGGACGGGUGAGGAAUACAUCGGAAUCUACUUUUUCGUGGGGGAUAACGUAGGGAAACUUACGCUAAUACCGCAUCCGACCUACGGGUGAAAGCAGGGGAUCUUCGGACCUUGCGCGAUUGAAUGAGCCGAUGUCGGAUUAGCUUGUUGGCGGGGUAAAGGCCCACCAAGGCGACGAUCCGUAGCUGGUCUGAGAGGAUGAUCAGCCACACUGGAACUGAGACACGGUCCAGACUCCUACGGGAGGCAGCAGUGGGGAAUAUUGGACAAUGGGCGCAAGCCUGAUCCAGCCAUACCGCGUGGGUGAAGAAGACCUUCGGGUUGUAAAGCCCUUUUGUUGGGAAAGAAAAGCAGCAGGUUAAUACCCCGCUGUUCUGACGGUACCCAAAGAAUAAGCACCGGCUAACUUCGUG
This 492-nucleotide ribosomal RNA is filed under the name uncultured bacterium. RNAcentral's name for it is "partial 16S ribosomal RNA". It matches the Rfam family "Bacterial small subunit ribosomal RNA", at positions 29 to 507 of the family's 1533-position model. The record is from RNAcentral.